Molecule: long non-coding RNA, 607 nt
Organism: Pantherophis guttatus
Lineage: Eukaryota; Metazoa; Chordata; Lepidosauria; Squamata; Colubridae
Source: RefSeq, a predicted model, not a curated record
CCAAUAAGAGAACCUUAUAUUUAAACCACCGACCGCUUCCAUGAUUCUGAUCCAAAACGCCAGGUGUCUGUAAUAUGAAGAACUGCAGAAAAAACAAUUACUACCAACCUGCCUUCCAUUGAGGACCUGUAUACUGCACGAGUCAAAAAGAGGGCUGUGAAAAAAUUUACAGACCCCUCGCCCUGGACAUAAAUUGUUUCAACUCCUACCCUCAAAACAAUGCCAAAGAGCACUGCACACCUGAACAACUAGACACAAGAACAGUUUUUUCCUGAACGCCAUCACUCUGCUAAACAAAUAAUUCCCUCAACACUGUCAAACUAGUUACUAAGUCUGCACUACUAUUAAUCUUCUCAUCGUUCCUAUCACCCAUCUCCUCCCACUUACGACUGCAUGACUGUAACUUUGUUUGUAUCCUUACUAUUUAUAUUGAUUGUUCCUAGUAUUUGAUUGCUUAUUUGUACCCUAUGACUACCAUUAAGUGUUGUAACUUGUGAUUCUUGAUGAAUGUAUCUUGUCUUUAUGUACACUGAGAGCAUAUGCACCAAAGACAAAUUCCUUGUGUGUCCAAUCACACUUGGCCAAUAAAGAAUUCUAUUCUAUUCUA